RNAcentral lists this long non-coding RNA (442 nucleotides) under Mytilus galloprovincialis (Mediterranean mussel). The record is from RNAcentral. Lineage: Eukaryota; Metazoa; Mollusca; Bivalvia; Mytilida; Mytilidae.
AUGCUGCGUCUGUAUGUGUUGAAUCGUAAAUAUUUUGAUUAUUACCACGUUCAUUAGUAAAUCUUUCAUAUGUUUGAUUGAGCUCCAUGUUACAAUCCCUUUGGUCUCUGUUACAACUGAGCUUGUUUUGAUGAUUUUUUUCAGCAUUUUGAACAUUUUGCAAGGUAUCAUACCUGCCAUUCGAUAUUGGCAAGUGAAUUGGUUUUAAAGGCUCAUACGUGUGGUUUUCAUCGACAACAGUGUUUGGUGAACACAGAUUAUUUCUAUCACGAUUAGAAUGGAAUCUUGCCAUCACAUAUACAUUUCCCUUCAAACUUUGAUUUGAUAAUAAUAUAUUUUUUGAUAUUAAAAAAACAUAUUAAUUCAAAUGACACUUAGAACACAUUAACUAAGUAUUUUCUCUUUAAACAGGAAGAUUCACUCACCACAAAGGAAAACAAAU